CCCCACGCCAAGCAAUAGAGAUGUCAACCGACUUUUCUCAACAACAGCAGCAAAAUUUACAGAAAGGCAGCUGUCUUAUUCUAGGCACCUUGGACUUAUUUAUCUUAGAACUGGAAGUUUGUACAUUUUGAUCACCUUCAUCCGUUUUGACCUCCCCACAACCCUGCCUCUGUUCCAGCCACCAAUGUGAUCUGCUCUCUACCCCACUACAUGAGCUGGAAACCUCAACCUAAAAUAGUUACAGAGGUGAGACAAAAGAUACAAACUAAACUGGUCAUUAAAAUUUCUCCAAUGGGCAUGAAUAAUGUGAAUGUGAGAGAAGGUGUAUAGGUGCAGAUAGGUAAAGGAAAAAGAAAAAAAGAGAAAAGAAAGAGAAAAUUUUUGUCCCAACUUUCCCUGAUUGCUUAUAAUUCUGUGUCUCUGAAAUGAGCCAAGAAAAUCUGCCAAGCAAGAAGGUGGAGGAUAAGGACAUAAAUGCAACAUUUAGUUAUUAGUGCUUUGCAAAACCCAAAGACUUUAUUUCAUGUUCACAACAAUCUUUGCAUUGUCAUGCUGGAUUCAAAUUGUGUUGGAUUUGGCUACUUUGGAAAUUUUUGCAUGGCUGGAUUCUUAGUGUGUAGUGAAAAAAGGAGAGGGCCUCUGACACACUUGAGUUCCUGUCAUAGGACAGGUGUUCGUUCUUAUUUAAUUGUAUGAUCCCUUCUAUAUCAGAUGUUGGCAAAGCUUUCUGAGCAACAUUUUACUGCUUUGUGAUGUGAUUCUUCUCUGAUUUAACAUGUGUCACUUAAACUUAUAUUUCCUGCCUAUUCUUCCCAUGCCAAUUUGAACUAUACAAAAAACUUAAAAGAGGAGAAAUUUCAUACAGUAUAAAUAAGGAUUUUGUAUUGGGACAAUUCUUAAUUAAAGUUAAGAUUUUGCAUAACAAUACAGGAUACGGCAAAAAUCAACUCAAGACGUGGUAUAUUGCAGUUGCAUUAUAACUAACCAAGUCUAGACCCAAAUUUUACACCAACUGUAAAUCAUGGACUAAAAUAAAACUCAAUGAAACCUGUGCCUGAGCCAGAGUUUGCUUUCCUUGGAUUUGGCAACAAACUACUAACUUUGCAUAGGAUAGGCAGCAGAGGAGGAAAUACUACAUUUCUUUGAACCAAUCCAUGUUACAAAGAAUAGCUAAUUCUUGUUUGGUAACCAGCUAGAUUUUUAAAUAACAAUAUCCAACAGAAAUAGAAUUAUGUCUGUACAAACUGUAAUCACAAAAAGCAAUAGCCAAACAGAAAUUUUGUCUAAAUGACAUUAUCAGAACUUAG
Molecule: long non-coding RNA, 1307 nt
Organism: Diceros bicornis minor
Lineage: Eukaryota; Metazoa; Chordata; Mammalia; Perissodactyla; Rhinocerotidae
Exons: 3
Source: RefSeq, a predicted model, not a curated record